GCUGGGAUGGCGGAGUGGUCAAUCGCACUUGACUGUAGAUCAAGCGCCUUCGGGCUACCCAGGUUCGAAUCCUGGUCCCAGCA
This 83-nucleotide transfer RNA is filed under the name Candidatus Blackburnbacteria bacterium. RNAcentral describes it as "tRNA-Tyr". It matches the Rfam family "tRNA". Rfam says of the family: Transfer RNA (tRNA) molecules are approximately 80 nucleotides in length. Their secondary structure includes four short double-helical elements and three loops (D, anti-codon, and T loops). Further hydrogen bonds mediate the characteristic L-shaped molecular structure. tRNAs have two regions of fundamental functional importance: the anti-codon, which is responsible for specific mRNA codon recognition, and the 3' end, to which the tRNAs corresponding amino acid is attached (by aminoacyl-tRNA synthetases). tRNAs cope with the degeneracy of the genetic code in two manners: having more than one tRNA (with a specific anti-codon) for a particular amino acid; and 'wobble' base-pairing, i.e. permitting non-standard base-pairing at the 3rd anti-codon position. Lineage: Bacteria; Candidatus Blackburniibacteriota. The record is from RNAcentral.